Molecule: ribosomal RNA, 293 nt
Filed under: uncultured bacterium
Lineage: Bacteria
Description: partial 16S ribosomal RNA
Rfam family: Archaeal small subunit ribosomal RNA
Source: RNAcentral
GUGCCAGCCGCCGCGGUAAUACCGGCAGCCCGAGUGAUGGCCGAUCUUAUUGGGCCUAAAGCGUCCGUAGCUGGGUCUGAAAGUCCAUCGGGAAAUCCACUCGCUCAACGAGUGGUCGUCCGGUGGAAACUCCACACCUUGGGACCGGAAGGCUCGAAGGGUACGGCCGGGGUAGGAGUGAAAUCCCAUAACCCCGCACGGACCACCGAUGGCGAAAGCACUUCGAGAAAACGGAUCCGACAGUGAGGGACGAAAGCCAGGGUCUCCAACCGGAUUAGAAACCCUAGUAGUCC